ACAUGCAGUCGAGGGGCAGCGGGGAGUAGCAAUACUUCGCCGGCGACCGGCGCACGGGUGAGUAACACGUGUGCAACCAACCCCGUACCGGGAGAUAACCCGCGGAAACGUGGACUAACAUCCCAUAACACUGUAUCAUCGCAUGGUGAUGCAUUUAAAAUUCCGGUGGUACGGGACGGGCACGCGCGACAUUAGGUAGUUGGCGGGGUAACGGCCCACCAAGCCGACGAUGUCUAGGGGUUCUGAGAGGAAGGUCCCCCACACUGGAACUGAGACACGGUCCAGACUCCUACGGGAGGCAGCAGUGAGGAAUAUUGGUCAAUGGGCGAGAGCCUGAACCAGCCAAGUCGCGUGAGGGAAGAAUGGUCUAUGGCCUGUAAACCUCUUUUGCCAGGGAAGAAUAAAUUGCACGCGUGCGAUCUUGCCAGUACCUGACGAAUAAGCAUCGGCUAACUCCGUGCCAGCAGCCGCGGUAAUACGGGGGAUGCGAGCGUUAUCCGGAUUUAUUGGGUUUAAAGGGCGCGUAGGCGGGACGCCAAGUCAGCGGUAAAAGACUGCAGCUAAACUGUAGCACGCCGUUGAAACUGGCGACCUCGAGACGAGACGAGGGAGGCGGAACAAGUGAAGUAGCGGUGAAAUGCUUAGAUAUCACUUGGAACCCCGAUAGCGAAGGCAGCUUCCCAGGCUCGAUCUGACGCUGAUGCGCGAGAGCGUGGGUAGCGAACAGGAUUAGAUACCCUGGUAGUCCACGCCGUAACGAUGCUCACUGGAUCUUGGCGAUACACUGCCAGGGUUCAAGCGAAAGUAUUAAGUGAGCCACCUGGGGAGUACGUCGGCAACGAUGAAACUCAAGGAAUUGACGGGGGCCCGCACAAGCGGAGGGACAUGUGGUUUAAUUCGAUGAUACGCGAGGAACCUUACC
RNAcentral lists this ribosomal RNA (922 nucleotides) under uncultured bacterium. Its description in RNAcentral is "bacterial SSU rRNA". It matches the Rfam family "Bacterial small subunit ribosomal RNA", at positions 53 to 975 of the family's 1533-position model. The record is from RNAcentral.